RNAcentral lists this ribosomal RNA (492 nucleotides) under uncultured bacterium. RNAcentral describes it as "partial 16S ribosomal RNA". It matches the Rfam family "Bacterial small subunit ribosomal RNA", at positions 29 to 507 of the family's 1533-position model. The record is from RNAcentral.
AGUGAACGCUGGCGGUAGGCCUAACACAUGCAAGUCGAACGGCAGCACAGUAAGAGCUUGCUCUUACGGGUGGCGAGUGGCGGACGGGUGAGGAAUACAUCGGAAUCUACUUUUUCGUGGGGGAUAACGUAGGGAAACUUACGCUAAUACCGCAUACGACCUACGGGUGAAAGCAGUGGAUCUUCUGACCUUGCGCGAUUGAAUGAGCCGAUGUCGGAUUAGCUAGUUGGCGGGUUAAAGGCCCACCAAGGCGACGAUCCGUAGCUGGUCGGAGAGAAUGAUAGGCGACACUGGAACGGGGACACGGUCAAGACUCCUACGGGAGGCAGCAGUGGGGAAUAUUGGACAAUGGGGGCAAGCAUGAUCCAGCCAUACCGCGUGGGUGAAGAAGGCCUUCGGGGUGUAAAGACCUUUUGUUGGGAAAGAAAAGCAGCAGGUUAAUACCCCGCUGUUCUGACGGUACCCAAAGAAUAAGCACCGGCUAACUUCGUG